UAGAGUUUGAUCCUGGCUCAAGAUGACCUCUAGCUACAGGCUUAACACAUGCAAGUCGAGGGGCAGCAUCAUCAAAGCUUGCUUUGAUGGAUGGCGACCGGCGCACGGGUGAGUAACACGUAUCCAACCUGCCGACAACACUGGGAUAGCCUUUCAAAAGAAAGAUUAAUACCGGAUGGCAUAUUUUUCCCGCAUGGGAUAAUUAUUAAAGAAUUUCGGUUGUCGAUGGGGAUGCGUUCCAUUAGGCAGUUGGCGGGGUAACGGCCCACCAAACCAACGAUGGAUAGGGGUUCUGAGAGGAAGGUCCCCCACAUUGGAACUGAGACACGGUCCAAACUCCUACGGGAGGCAGCAGUGAGGAAUAUUGGUCAAUGGACGAGAGUCUGAACCAGCCAAGUAGCGUGAAGGAUGACUGCCCUAUGGGUUGUAAACUUCUUUUAUACGGGAAUAAAGUUAGCCACGUGUGGCUUUUUGUAUGUACCGUAUGAAUAAGGAUCGGCUAACUCCGUGCCAGCAGCCGCGGUAAUACGGAGGAUCCGAGCGUUAUCCGGAUUUAUUGGGUUUAAAGGGAGCGUAGGCGGGUUGUUAAGUCAGUUGUGAAAGUUUGCGGCUCAACCGUAAAAUUGCAGUUGAUACUGGCGACCUUGAGUGCAACAGAGGUAGGCGGAAUUCGUGGUGUAGCGGUGAAAUGCUUAGAUAUCACGAAGAACUCCGAUUGCGAAGGCAGCUUACUGGAUUGUAACUGACGCUGAUGCUCGAAAGUGUGGGUAUCAAACAGGAUUAGAUACCCUGGUAGUCCACACAGUAAACGAUGAAUACUCGCUGUUGGCGAUAUACGGUCAGCGGCCAAGCGAAAGCAUUAAGUAUUCCACCUGGGGAGUACGCCGGCAACGGUGAAACUCAAAGGAAUUGACGGGGGCCCGCACAAGCGGAGGAACAUGUGGUUUAAUUCGAUGAUACGCGAGGAACCUUACCCGGGCUUAAGUUGCAACUGACUGAACCGGAAACGGUUCUUUCUUCGGACAGUUGUGAAGGUGCUGCCU
This 1043-nucleotide ribosomal RNA is filed under the name uncultured bacterium. Its description in RNAcentral is "bacterial SSU rRNA". It matches the Rfam family "Bacterial small subunit ribosomal RNA", at positions 1 to 1046 of the family's 1533-position model. The record is from RNAcentral.